GUAGAAAUGCCAGAGACUAGAUAUGGGAUUGGUUUAGGACCAAUCUACGGCGUUACGCCUUUCUACU
RNAcentral lists this transfer RNA (67 nucleotides) under Duplicibothrium sp. MZUSP 8039. RNAcentral describes it as "tRNA-Leu". The record is from RNAcentral. Lineage: Eukaryota; Metazoa; Platyhelminthes; Cestoda; Tetraphyllidea; Serendipidae.